This 465-nucleotide ribosomal RNA is filed under the name uncultured bacterium. Its description in RNAcentral is "partial 16S ribosomal RNA". It matches the Rfam family "Bacterial small subunit ribosomal RNA", at positions 28 to 507 of the family's 1533-position model. The record is from RNAcentral.
GAUGAACGCUGGCGGCGUGCUUAACACAUGCAAGUCGAACGAAAAGGCUCGUACUUGCCGGGGUACUCGAUUGGCGAACGGGGGAGAAUCACGUGGGGGUUCUGCCCUUCACUGCGGGAGAAACCUUGGAGACUGGGGCUAAUACCGGGGAGGACGAUGUUAUGCAUGCGAUUGUGGAGAGUUUUUCGGUGUUGGAUGAGCUCGCGGCCUAUCAGCUUGUGGGUGGGGUAAUGGGCUACCAAGGGGCCGACGGGUGGCCGGCCUGAGAGGGUGUACGGCCACAUUGGGACUGCGAUACGGCCCAGACUCCUACGGGAGGCAGCAGUGGGGAAUAUUGCACAAUGGGCGCAAGCCUGAUGCAGCGACGCCGCGUGGGGGAUGACGGCCUUCGGGUUGUAAACUACUUUCGCUAGGGACGAAGCGCAAGUGACGGUACCUGGAGAAGAAGCACCGGCUAACUACGUG